GCAUAGCCGAGUUGAGAGACUGAUCGGCCACAAUGGAACUGAGACACGGUCCAUACUCCUACGGGAGGCAGCAGUAGGGAAUCUUCCACAAUGGGCGCAAGCCUGAUGGAGCAACACCGCGUGAGUGAAGAAGGGUUUCGGCUCGUAAAACUCUGUUGUUGAAGAAGAACGUGCGUGAGAGUAACUGUUCAUGCAGUGACGGUAUUCAACCAGAAAGUCACGGCUAACUACGUGCCAGCAGCCGCGGUAAUACGUAGGUGGCAAGCGUUAUCCGGAUUUAUUGGGCGUAAAGCGAGCGCAGGCGGUUGCUUAGGUCUGAUGUGAAAGCCUUCGGCUUAACCGAAGAAGUGCAUCGGAAACCGGGCGACUUGAGUGCAGAAGAGGACAGUGGAACUCCAUGUGUAGCGGUGGAAUGCGUAGAUAUAUGGAAGAACACCAGUGGCGAAGGCGGCUGUCUGGUCUGCAACUGACGCUGAGGCUCGAAAGCAUGGGUAGCGAACAGGAUUAGAUACCCUGGUAGUCCAUGCCGUAAACGAUGAGUGCUAGGUGUUGGAGGGUUUCCGCCCUUCAGUGCCGCAGCUAACGCAUUAAGCACUCCGCCUGGGGAGUACGACCGCAAGGUUGAAACUCAAAGGAAUUGACGGGGGCCCGCACAAGCGGUGGAGCAUGUGGUUUAAUUCGAAGCUACGCGAAGAACCUUACCAGGUCUUGACAUCUUGCGCUAACCUAAGAGAUUAGGCGUUCCCUUCGGGGACGCAAUGACAGGUGGUGCAUGGUCGUCGUCAGCUCGUGUCGUGAGAUGUUGGGUUAAGUCCCGCAACGAGCGCAACCCUUGUUACUAGUUGCCAGCAUUCAGUUGGGCACUCUAGUGAGACUGCCGGUGACAAACCGGAGGAAGGUGGGGACGACGUCAGAUCAUCAUGCCCCUUAUGACCUGGGCUACACACGUGCUACAAUGGCCGGUACAACGAGCAGCUAACCCGCGAGGGUGUGCAAAUCUCUUAAAGCCGGUCUCAGUUCGGACUGCAGUCUGCAACUCGACUGCACGAAGUCGGAAUCGCUAGUAAUCGCGGAUCAGCAUGCCGCGGUGAAUACGUUCCCGGGCCUUGUACACACCGCCCGUCACACCAUGGAAGUUUGCAAUGCCCAAAGUCAGUGGCCUAACCAUUUUGGAGGGAGC
RNAcentral lists this ribosomal RNA (1180 nucleotides) under Limosilactobacillus panis. Its description in RNAcentral is "bacterial SSU rRNA". It matches the Rfam family "Bacterial small subunit ribosomal RNA", at positions 281 to 1453 of the family's 1533-position model. Lineage: Bacteria; Bacillati; Bacillota; Bacilli; Lactobacillales; Lactobacillaceae. The record is from RNAcentral.